This is a long non-coding RNA of Astyanax mexicanus (Mexican tetra), 6859 nucleotides long. RefSeq lists it as uncharacterized. The transcript has 2 exons. The record is from RefSeq and is a predicted model, not a curated record. NCBI's taxonomy places the organism in Eukaryota, Metazoa, Chordata, Actinopteri, Characiformes, Acestrorhamphidae.
CUGGAAAUUAUUUUAUUGUUAUUUUAAUACGUUUAUUAUUACAGUGAACCAUACUUACUGUUCUGUACACCUAAUACAGGUUACUAAAGGUAAUGGGCAGUGAUACCAUUAACAUGUUACUUAGUAAGCGACAAUCAAGUCACGUUUUCAGCAUGAGAUCUCGUGGUGUGGCUGUAAUAAAAAGAAUAAAAGUGAAUAUUUAAAGAUAAUAAUACAAAAAAAGCACCAUAUUAGAACAUUCUCCUGGCAGGAGUGUAGGUAGUGUGGGGGAAAAUCAACAUUUAUUCCAUGUAUUCCUGAUUUACUUCAUGUAUUCAUAAUCAAUUAUACUGAUUAUUCCUGUUAAUCAUUCAAUAUUCAUCCUGUUAAUCAUUCAAUCAGUAUUUUAUCAUUGAGUGUUAUGUGAACUUAUAUUCUCUGAUAAGGCCAUUCAUUCAGACUUAAGGGCAAAGAUUAUAAAAGCAGGGGUUUGCCUGGAAACUGUUUUGUCAUAGUAAAAUAGAGCUUUCUGAUUCAUGAAUUAUUCUCUCCUAAAAAGCUUAUCUUCUGGUACGUGCAGUUUCUGUUCCUCUUUUUAUAUUUGGUAGUGAUCUGUUCCAAACAGAUCACGAGUUUGGCAUUGCCUCAUGUAUGCAAGGGGGACUGUAUAAAAAUGCCCAGUCGACACAGAAACGGGGCUUUUUCCGACUUUCCUGACUACUCUCAUUCUUCAUCCAUUGCUUUCGCUUUAUUUUUGCUUUUUGCAACUUCAAAAUAAAAACCUUCUCUUUUUGGCAUCCCGGCUCGUUGACUGUCUUUGUCGAUUUCCACGACAAAUUGGCGUCCCUGCGGUGGGCUGCUCGUGCACCGGGACCUCUAGACCCUGCAAGAAAAGCGGAGGACGCUCUUGGGUUAAAAAAAAAGAAACCCAACCUUAGAACCUCAACUGUUUUUUAGAGGAAAAGGCGUUUUCUCUGGGGGUCGAGGGGUGUCCGGGGCCGCUGCAGCCGCACCACGUGUGAGUAUAUUUUUAUAUCUUUCUUCGUCUGGCUUGAGCCCCCUGGCACACAGUCUGAGUUGAUGUGAAGAGGUUAGAGGCAAAAGGAGGAACCUGUAAAUUUUUUUUGGUGCUGUGUGUUUGCCUCAAUCCAAGAUUUGGGGCAUAGCCCAGAAAAAACUGGUUCCUGGGGCCGGAUAACCCGCCUUUGUAUGACGAUAUUUAAAGGUUAAAGAUUUUUUCCCCUGGUUUUUUGUGAGAAAACGGAGGGCACAGUCUGACGGGGCUGUGAGCACAUAGGCACAGCGAUAGAGUCGCGAACCUGCUGGUAAAGAAAAAUGGAUCGAUCCCUCAUCUGUGUGUUGAGAGCGGGGGGUUUCGGGCCAGAGGGGAAACUUUGUUAAAGUACAUUUUUCUAAGGGGAAAUGAACGGGGAUGCCGAAAGACAAGUGUCUUAUAAAUUUUUUUUUGCUAUCUAAUUUUUUUUGGCUUUGCUCCGCACCGCUUCCGUUUUUUUUCUCACUUCUAAAUUUUUCUGUCUGGUUUUUAUCCUCUCGUCUUUUCCUGUUUAGAGUGAGUGAAACAGAAGUGUGUGCGACAGUGCGACUGACAGAGAGGAAAAGAAAAGGGUGUACGAGUGUCUGUUAAAGGGAUUAAAAGUGUACCUGUGAGUGUGAAAGUGUGCGGGUCCAGUUUUCCUGAGAGAGAAACAGAAAAUGUGUAUCUUGUGUUGGCGGAGAGAAAGAAUGUGUGUGUGGCAGUGAGUGAGAAAGUGUAUGGCAGCGAAUUAAAGAGUGUGUGUAAGGCAGGGUGAGUGAAACUGUGCGAGAGCGGGGCUGAUUGAGUGUACGAAGUCGUGAGUGACAACGAAAUAGGAAAUGGAUGAGUCCCACUGCAGGGGAGGAGUCCAAGGUGAAGUAGGUGGAGUUGGUCCAGCCCAUUGGUUUUAGACUGAGAGGUUGGUUAUUUGUGAAUUAACGCAUGUGAGAUAUCAUAGAAAAUAGAACAUAAGUUCAGUAGGGAAAUAGAAUAAUACACAGUGAAAACAGGAGAAAAGGCUUUUGUAUGGGUAGAUAUAUAUAUAUAUAUAUAUAUAUAAGAAAAUAUAAGGAUAUAAAAAACCUAACUAUACAAGGUAAAGAUCUAUCUGUAAACGGAGCAGUGCAGUAGAUGUUACUAAUGGUCAUAAAUAAUUAAAUAAUUAACAGAGUAAAGUGCAAUGACAUCUAUUAUGACAGUGACUAAUGUGAAAUAGAAAUAUAAUAUAAUAUACAUAUGCAUACGCUAUAAGACAGUUCUAAAAUAAAAAUGUGAAAAUGUGGAUACCCAAUCAUGAGUACAGUGUACUUUAAUGUAAGCAAGGUUGGGAAAAAUGUUAAUAUAAAUAAUUAAGUUGUUGAAUAAUGUCGGAGAGGUAUGUGACUGGAUAGAAUUUAUAGAAUUUAAUAAAGGGAUUAUGGGGUUGGUUAGCAAAACAAAUUAAAAAUAAAAGUAACUGGAAAUUCCAAAAUAUACUAUGCCAUGCAGUACUGCUGUGUAAGAUGUCCUCAGAGCAGGACAAAUAAACAUGGUUUCUUGUUUGAUUGUUAAAUAAAUAAGUUUAAUAAAUAGAAAAUGCUACAUAGUGAAUAGUGAAUGAGUUAAUGAGUGAGCCAUUCCAAACACAGCUUUUUAUCAGGUGAUUUAGUCAAUUAUCUUACUAUUCGUUUCUCAUUCAGACUGAUCUCAGUUCAGUCCUAGCUGAAUGAGACUUAUAUAAGACGGAUGUAAUAUCUAAUUUCUCUAUGUUACAUUUUGAUCCUCAUAAGAGGGAUAGUUGAUUUCAGAAACCAAUGAGAAAAGACCUUAUUUAUUUGAAAAUGAGGGUCUUUCUCAUUUUAAAUAAGGGGAAAUAAAAUGUGUUUGAAAAUGCAGCUCUCUGUUUUGCUUUACAGUAUUAAAUUAGACUAGAAAGAGAUCUGGAAAACGGCAUAGAUUUAGUUUUCAUGCUUAUACAAUGCCACCUAUAAAACAAAUGCAUAAUUUUCUGGCUGUAGCAUGAACAAAAUCAGCUAAGCAAUAUAAAAUUGUUUCAUCUGCAUAAUGGUAAAGUUUGCAAUCUGAAGAAGCAGAGCCAGUAAUAUAAUUUAUAUAUAUAUAUUAAAUAAAACUGGACCAAACUUUAACCUUGUGGUACAUCUGUGAGAUACAGAUGCCAAAUCUGAAUAAUUAUUCAUUGACAUGCACUCUUUUGGGUCUAUUCCAGAGCAGUGUUAUCAAAGCAAAUAAUUUAAGCUAAAUUCAGUGGGAGAGAAAGGGUGAUACUGAUGGUAAUAAGGAAAAUCUGUAUACAAUAAUAACAAAUAAUAAACCAUGGGUACUCGGUGCCUUGCACAGGCUUUCACAGUAAACACCAGAGUGUGAGUUUGUGACAGUGUGACAUACCUGGGUUUGUGCUCCCUGCAGAAACACUACAGCACUGAAUGUUGAUGAAACAGUGCUGCUACGCUGUGUGUGGUUCAGUGGGCUAGGCUGGUUAGCCAAAGACGGGUAAGAUCCCAACAUAUUGCACAGGGACAACCUAAGACAGGCACAGUCUCGAUCUGACCACCACAUGCAUUUUAACAGAAAACGGAGAAAACAUCGUGGAAGGGAAGCGCAGCCCAGGGGGAGAGUGAGUGGAUGAAUGACGUGAUGGGGUGUGUGUUCAGUGGAGGCCUGGGCAGGGUAGACCAGCCCAAAAUGGACAGUAAAGAGGGUGAAGCAAUUUUGUGUUAAGUUCUCUGAAACAGAAAUUCUGUUUCAGAAAAAGGGGGAGAUUUAAAUAGAUGAUCAUUAUUACCACCAUUAUUUGCCCGAUAAUUAUUUUAUACUUUUUAUAAUAAUUAUUUUAUACUUAUUAUUAUUAUUAUUUUUUUUAAACCUAUUACCUUUUUCAUCCCUCACCACUAUUACUAAAAUUUUUUGACCAAUCAUUAUUUUAUAGAUAUAGAGCAUUUUUUAAACUUUUAGCUUGUUUAUCUUUUUAAAGUUUGGUUUUAAAACAACCUCUAUGCAGAUAAGCAAUUACUCUCAGCAAUAUUGUAACAGUCUUAACUUUAAGACACACCCAAUCCUAAUUUAAAAAGAAGAAAUAAGAAACUUAGAAAUCACAAAAUUGAACUUUCACUAUUCAACAUGUGAGCCACUUUUGGAGCAAGGGAAACAGUAAGUGGGAUUUGAUAAAUUGUUUAAGGAAAUAGAUGUAUUGUUGAUAAUUGUGAAAAGCAAUCUGCUUGGCAUUGUAUAUGCAUAAAUACAUAUUGAAAAUAUUGAAAAGUAAAUGUAAAGCAUUGCUCGGAUUUACUUGCUAUAAUAACGUGGACAAAGCAAAGCAUAACAUCUGUGUUUAUUAAUAUUGAUAAUAUUAUUGUUUGUAAUGGAACGAUUGAUACAGAGAAAAAUAAUCACUUUCCACUUAUCCCAAUUCUUAAAGUACUAAAUAAAAUCAACUAAAACUAGAAAUCAAGGCUUUAUAAAAAUCUUGGGAACUGAAUAAAGUCAGAAUCAUAAUUUCUUAAUAAAUAGCACACCGCAGAAAAUUAAAGUGGCAGGUAAAAUAAUAUAGCCACAAGCGGUGAUGCAAAAGUAAAAGCAAAAGUAACCCAAGAAAGCCCAGUACAUCAACAUGGACCCAUUCCUGACACAGAAGCUACAUUAUGUGUAGUUUGUGCAGAGUGUAAAACUUUGGGCCCUGAUAUUCUAUCAAUCAGUGUGGAGAUGAAUGGGAGAAUAGAGCAGCUGAUCAUUAAAACUUUGCAUGGAGCAAUGAUAAUAAACAUGAUUCAGAUAUAUUUCCAAAUGUUUGUUCCUUAUUUAUUAUCUAUGUAGUACUAUCAAUACAAUAUAAGAAGAUAUGCAGGAAGCAUUCAGUGGUAGGUUUAACAGCAGGUGCGUUUAAAGCAGCAGCUUUGGGCUGUGAAGCAGUAAAAUAUGGUCUGUACAAUGAUGGUGCAGAAUUGAGGUGUGUGAUCUUUAACUUUGGUAGUGUUUGUGAGAAUGGAAGUAGAAGUGUUUGAGUUUGUUUAUGUGUACUUGUGUGGGUGAAGUUGUGUGUGUGUGUUUGUGUGUGUGCAUGAGACAUAGUGUGUGUCUAGUGGUAAACUAAGUGUUUGUAAAAGCUAAUUUGGCUAUAAGAGAUUAGUUAUAGCCAUGGGGAAGCAGUUACACUGAAAGGGAAAGGGAUGUGAACAAAAGUAAGGUAAAAGCCAGUAAUUAAUGGUGAUGAUAAUUAAAUGUUGCAAUUUAAAAUUUGAAAAUGACUAAAUGUUAGGGAUUUAAAGCACUUUUGACAAGUAAAGAUCAUGAUUGAGUAUAACUGAAAAUAGGACAACCGAAGAAGGUAAGAAAACAAAAUUGGGCUGAAAAUCUGUGCACAGACAAAAUUUAAAUAUGAAAUAAUUAACUUCCAAGGGAAAUUAGAGCUCAAGUUAAGUGUGAUAAAUGUAUUUUAACCAUGUAUUUUAACUUGCAGGAAGGAGACACGGAGGACCCCUUAACAGACUUCCAAAAUGAAUAGAGAACCUUAAACAUGAUUAUAACGAAUCGAAAGUCUUGUUUCAGAUCUGUUUACACAGGGGGAGAAGGAGAACGUGGUGCAAAGGUGGACCAGUCCAGACACAGAGUGAGGGCUACUCCGCCAUUGCGCACGAAAGGGGAACGAGCAUGGCUGGAUUGAGCCUUUCCAGGUGACUGAGAGAACAACGCACGCAGAUCAACUGAAAGGCGAGGGUUCUACAGCUGUACAACAACAGAGAUCGCUCACAGAGCAAGCGGGAGGAGACGAGACAGCAGCAGCUGAAUCGUCUGACUCAGACGAAGGCCGCAGCAGGAAGGAGGGGCAGCUGAAAUUGCACAGCACACAGCAGGGGCGUCAGUGCCUGGCUGUGACCGAGGAGCGAAAUUGAGGAAGUAACUCAUUCAGCAACGUUUCGUUUGCGUCAAAGUACACUACAUACAGAGACUCUUAAACACAUCUCAUUAAAAACACACAUAGUCUUAUCACACACCAACUCAUACUUUUCAUUCACUGAUGUGGGGCUGAGGUAGUCUACGAGAAAAAGGAAGCCAAACCACUAUAGACGAUGAUUUUCAUGUAUUUUUUUCCUUGUUGCUCUGGGAGCAGGACAACAGCAGGACAUUGUGCAUUUGACCAUCACAGAUAUCAUUGUAAUCAGCAUUUAUGUGUUGAAAAUUAUUAUUAUUAUUAUUAUUAUUUUUUUUUCUUAUUGUUUAAUCAAAAUGAAAAUUUUUGAUUAAAAGGGGGGAAAUGUGGGGGAAAAUCAACAUUUAUUCCAUGUAUUCCUGAUUUACUUCAUGUAUUCAUAAUCAAUUAUACUGAUUAUUCCUGUUAAUCAUUCAAUAUUCAUCCUGUUAAUCAUUCAAUCAGUAUUUUAUCAUUGAGUGUUAUGUGAACUUAUAUUCUCUGAUAAGGCCAUUCAUUCAGACUUAAGGGCAAAGAUUAUAAAAGCAGGGGUCUGCCUGGAGACUAGCGGGUCAUAGCAAAUGGUGUUUUCUGAUUUAUGAAUUAUUCUCUCCUCAAGGAAUGAAAAUCAGGUUUGCCUGGAAACUGUUUUGUCAUAGUAAAAUAGAGCUUUCUGAUUCAUGAAUUAUUCUCUCCUAAAAAGCUUAUCUUCUGGUACGUGCAGUUUCUGUUCCUCUUUUUAUAUUUGGUAGUGAUCUGUUCCAAACAGAUCACGAGUUUGGCAUUGCCUCAUGUAUGCAAGGGGGACUGUAUAAAAAUGCCCAGUCGACACAGAAACGGGGCUUUUUCCGACUUUCCUGACUACUCUCAUUCUUCAUCCAUUGCUUUCGCUUUAUUUUUGCUUUUUGCAACUUCAAAAUAAAAACCUUCUCUUUUUGGCA